Molecule: ribosomal RNA, 226 nt
Filed under: uncultured bacterium
Lineage: Bacteria
Description: partial 16S ribosomal RNA
Rfam family: Bacterial small subunit ribosomal RNA
Source: RNAcentral
UAAAAAGACCAUCCCAGUUCGGAUUGCAGGCUGCAACCCGCCUGUAUGAAGUUGGAAUCGCUAGUAAUCGCGGAUCAGCAUGCCGCGGUGAAUACGUUCCCGGGCCUUGUACACACCGCCCGUCACACCAUGAGAGUCGGGAACACCCGAAGUCCGUAGCCUAACCGCAAGGAGGGCGCGGCCGAAGGUGGGUUCGAUAAUUGGGGUGAAGUCGUAACAAGGUAGC